Molecule: long non-coding RNA, 325 nt
Filed under: Capsicum annuum
Lineage: Eukaryota; Viridiplantae; Streptophyta; Magnoliopsida; Solanales; Solanaceae
Description: long non-coding RNA (CANN_LNC015548)
Source: RNAcentral
GCUGCUUUAAUGGUGGCGGUGGCAAGCAGCCUUGGGGCUGCAAUGGUGCUGCGGGUAGGGGCGGAUCCACAUGUAUGGAUGGGAUGCACGUGCACCCGUUAACGUCAAAAAAAUUGUAUGUAUACACGUUGAGAAAUUGGGAUAUAAUUAAUAGUGCACCCUAAGAUUAAUUGUACUGCGCGUUGGUUUGUUGGUUGAAGCCUAUGACGACCAGGGAUCAAACCCUCGGUCGCACAAUAGCUUAUUACUAAAUUUAUAACAACAAAAUUGCUGGACUAGGAAUUCGAACCCGCAACCAAAUCAUAAGGUAAACACUCUCUGGCCG